Molecule: ribosomal RNA, 1720 nt
Filed under: Staphylococcus aureus M0005
Lineage: Bacteria; Bacillati; Bacillota; Bacilli; Caryophanales; Staphylococcaceae
Also listed under: 119 other names
Description: bacterial LSU rRNA
Rfam family: Bacterial large subunit ribosomal RNA
Source: RNAcentral
GAGUGAAAUAGAACCUGAAACCGUGUGCUUACAAGUAGUCAGAGCCCGUUAAUGGGUGAUGGCGUGCCUUUUGUAGAAUGAACCGGCGAGUUACGAUUUGAUGCAAGGUUAAGCAGUAAAUGUGGAGCCGUAGCGAAAGCGAGUCUGAAUAGGGCGUUUAGUAUUUGGUCGUAGACCCGAAACCAGGUGAUCUACCCUUGGUCAGGUUGAAGUUCAGGUAACACUGAAUGGAGGACCGAACCGACUUACGUUGAAAAGUGAGCGGAUGAACUGAGGGUAGCGGAGAAAUUCCAAUCGAACCUGGAGAUAGCUGGUUCUCUCCGAAAUAGCUUUAGGGCUAGCCUCAAGUGAUGAUUAUUGGAGGUAGAGCACUGUUUGGACGAGGGGCCCCUCUCGGGUUACCGAAUUCAGACAAACUCCGAAUGCCAAUUAAUUUAACUUGGGAGUCAGAACAUGGGUGAUAAGGUCCGUGUUCGAAAGGGAAACAGCCCAGACCACCAGCUAAGGUCCCAAAAUAUAUGUUAAGUGGAAAAGGAUGUGGCGUUGCCCAGACAACUAGGAUGUUGGCUUAGAAGCAGCCAUCAUUUAAAGAGUGCGUAAUAGCUCACUAGUCGAGUGACACUGCGCCGAAAAUGUACCGGGGCUAAACAUAUUACCGAAGCUGUGGAUUGUCCUUUGGACAAUGGUAGGAGAGCGUUCUAAGGGCGUUGAAGCAUGAUCGUAAGGACAUGUGGAGCGCUUAGAAGUGAGAAUGCCGGUGUGAGUAGCGAAAGACGGGUGAGAAUCCCGUCCACCGAUUGACUAAGGUUUCCAGAGGAAGGCUCGUCCGCUCUGGGUUAGUCGGGUCCUAAGCUGAGGCCGACAGGCGUAGGCGAUGGAUAACAGGUUGAUAUUCCUGUACCACCUAUAAUCGUUUUAAUCGAUGGGGGGACGCAGUAGGAUAGGCGAAGCGUGCGAUUGGAUUGCACGUCUAAGCAGUAAGGCUGAGUAUUAGGCAAAUCCGGUACUCGUUAAGGCUGAGCUGUGAUGGGGAGAAGACAUUGAGUCUUCGAGUCGUUGAUUUCACACUGCCGAGAAAAGCCUCUAGAUAGAAAAUAGGUGCCCGUACCGCAAACCGACACAGGUAGUCAAGAUGAGAAUUCUAAGGUGAGCGAGCGAACUCUCGUUAAGGAACUCGGCAAAAUGACCCCGUAACUUCGGGAGAAGGGGUGCUCUUUAGGGUUAACGCCCAGAAGAGCCGCAGUGAAUAGGCCCAAGCGACUGUUUAUCAAAAACACAGGUCUCUGCUAAACCGUAAGGUGAUGUAUAGGGGCUGACGCCUGCCCGGUGCUGGAAGGUUAAGAGGAGUGGUUAGCUUCUGCGAAGCUACGAAUCGAAGCCCCAGUAAACGGCGGCCGUAACUAUAACGGUCCUAAGGUAGCGAAAUUCCUUGUCGGGUAAGUUCCGACCCGCACGAAAGGCGUAACGAUUUGGGCACUGUCUCAACGAGAGACUCGGUGAAAUCAUAGUACCUGUGAAGAUGCAGGUUACCCGCGACAGGACGGAAAGACCCCGUGGAGCUUUACUGUAGCCUGAUAUUGAAAUUCGGCACAGCUUGUACAGGAUAGGUAGGAGCCUUUGAAACGUGAGCGCUAGCUUACGUGGAGGCGCUGGUGGGAUACUACCCUAGCUGUGUUGGCUUUCUAACCCGCACCACUUAUCGUGGUGGGAGACAGUGUCA